Molecule: ribosomal RNA, 253 nt
Filed under: uncultured bacterium
Lineage: Bacteria
Description: partial 16S ribosomal RNA
Rfam family: Bacterial small subunit ribosomal RNA
Source: RNAcentral
UACGUAGGGUGCGAGCGUUGUCCGGAAUUACUGGGCGUAAAGAGCUUGUAGGUGGUUUGUCGCGUUGUUCGUGAAAUCUCACGGCUUAACUGUGAGCGUGCGGGCGAUACGGGCAGACUAGAGUACUGCAGGGGAGACUGGAAUUCUCAGUGUAGCGGUGAAAUGCGUAGAUAUCGAGAGGAACACCUGCGGCGAAGGCGGGUUGCUGGGCUGACACUGACGCUGAAGCGCGAAAGCUAGGGGAGCGAACAGG